Molecule: unclassified non-coding RNA, 223 nt
Filed under: plant metagenome
Description: partial contains small subunit ribosomal RNA, internal transcribed spacer 1, and 5.8S ribosomal RNA
Source: RNAcentral
UUUCCGUAGGUGAACCUGCGGAAGGAUCAUUAAAGAGAAUAUGCCCUUCGGGGUAGAUCUCCCACCCUUUGUUUAUAUUACCUUUGUUGCUUUGGCAGGCCCGUCUUCGGACCACCGGCUUCGGCUGGUCAGUGCUUGCCAGAGGACCCAAAACUCUUAUUAUUAAUGUCGUCUGAGUACUAUAUAAUAGUCAAAACUUUCAACAACGGAUCUCUUGGUUCUG